AACUCUCAACCCCCCUGUUUUGUAAUGAGACGGGCGUGGGCUUGGUUUAUGGUUGUCUGUCGGCGUAAGUCGGCUCAACUGAAAUAUACGAGCAACCCUUUUAAAAUAGACGGCUUGACUCGGCGUAAUAAUUAUUUCGCUGAGGACGUCUUCUUUAAAGUCAGUGGUGCUACUAGCGCUACGCCUUCGGGUGUAACUUUCAA
RNAcentral lists this unclassified non-coding RNA (203 nucleotides) under uncultured Sporidiobolales. RNAcentral's name for it is "sequence contains ITS2". The record is from RNAcentral. Lineage: Eukaryota; Fungi; Basidiomycota; Microbotryomycetes; Sporidiobolales.